UGUACCCUGGUAGUCCACGCUGUAAACGAUGUCGACUUGGAGGUUGUUCCCUUGAGGAGUGGCUUCCGGAGCUAACGCGUUAAGUCGACCGCCUGGGGAGUACGGCCGCAAGGUUAAAACUCAAAUGAAUUGACGGGGGCCCGCACAAGCGGUGGAGCAUGUGGUUUAAUUCGAUGCAACGCGAAGAACCUUACCUACUCUUGACAUCCAGAGAACUUAGCAGAGAUGCUUUGGUGCCUUCGGGAAUUUUGAGACAGGUGCUGCAUGGCUGUCGUCAGCUCGUGUUGUGAAAUGUUGGGUUAAGUCCCGCAACGAGCGCAACCCUUAUCCUUUGUUGCCAGCGGUUCGGCCGGGAACUCAAAGGAGACUGCCAGUGAUAAACUGGAGGAAGGUGGGGAUGACGUCAAGUCAUCAUGGCCCUUACGAGUAGGGCUACACACGUGCUACAAUGGCAUAUACAAAGAGAAGCGACCUCGCGAGAGCAAGCGGACCUCAUAAAGUAUGUCGUAGUCCGGAUUGGAGUCUGCAACUCGACUCCAUGAAGUCGGAAUCGCUAGUAAUCGUGGAUCAGAAUGCCACGGUGAAUACGUUCCCGGGCCUUGUACACACCGCCCGUCACACCAUGGGAGUGGGUUGCAACAAGAAGUAGGUAGCUAAC
Molecule: ribosomal RNA, 658 nt
Filed under: bacterium LB-57
Lineage: Bacteria
Description: bacterial SSU rRNA
Rfam family: Bacterial small subunit ribosomal RNA
Source: RNAcentral